UGAAUUGACGGGACCCGCACAAGCGUGGAUCAUGUUGUUUAAUUCGACGAUACGCGAAGAACUUACCAGGUCUUGACAUCCCUGCAAAGCUAUGGAGACAUAGUGGAGGUUAUCAGGGAGACAGGUGGUGCAUGGUUGUCGUCAGCUCGUGUCGUGAGAUGUUGGGUUAAGUCCCGCAACGAGCGCAACCCUUGUCUUUAAUUGCCAUCAUUGAGUUGGGCACUUUAAAGAGACUGCCGGUGUUAAACCGGAGGAAGUGGGAUGACGUCAAGUCCUCAUGGCCUUUAUGCCCAGGGCUACACACGUGCUACAAUGGGUGGUACAAAGAGAGGCAAGCUCGCGAGAGUAAGCAAAUCUCAAAAAGCCAUCCUCAGUUCGGAUUGGAGUCUGCAACUCGACCCCAUGAAGUCGGAAUCGCUAGUAAUCGCGGAUCAGCAUGCCGCGGUGAAUACGUUCCCGGGCCUU
Molecule: ribosomal RNA, 465 nt
Filed under: uncultured Syntrophus sp.
Lineage: Bacteria; Pseudomonadati; Thermodesulfobacteriota; Syntrophia; Syntrophales; Syntrophaceae
Description: bacterial SSU rRNA
Rfam family: Bacterial small subunit ribosomal RNA
Source: RNAcentral